RNAcentral lists this long non-coding RNA (724 nucleotides) under Mytilus galloprovincialis (Mediterranean mussel). Lineage: Eukaryota; Metazoa; Mollusca; Bivalvia; Mytilida; Mytilidae. The record is from RNAcentral.
GCCUUCUUUGUAUAUUUUGUCCUUCCUUGUCGGGUUGAUGUCUUUAAAGGGGAAAUAAUCUGUGAAGCAGUAGUUAAUUGGAAAUUUAGGGCGGUAUUAAUGAAUUUGUCUUGAGGACAGUAGUUGAUUGAAAAUUUUGUGUUUUUUAACUGGUAGUAUUUAGUAUUUCUUUUGGCUAAGAAAGUCAGAGUAGGAUAAUUUUUUAUUUUUUUUAAUAAGCUGUUAAGUUGUAGGUUUACCCAUUGUUCCCAUAUUGUGGAAAGGUUACGAAUCUAUUAAGUUUUGCUGUUUAGUUCCUUCAUUUUUUAGGGAAGUUAAAUGAUUUUUGAAUCCAUAUCCUAGAUUCAGGGGGGGUUAUUUUUAAUAUAUCUUGUGUCAUGCUUGAGUUAGUAAAAGACGUUGCCAGUCUUAUCCAGGGGAGUUAUAAGUUCUCUAGUGUCCCUUGUCGGAACUAAAGUUCCUCCUUUUUAAGAUGGAGGGGGGUGUUGUGUAAUUGCCCAGUAGUUCUAGGGGGUUUCCUCUGUCUGGUGUGAUCUACUGGUAAAGAGCGGAGAGAUCCGAAUGGUGACGUGUAUGGCCUGGUAGAGACUGGAGAGCCCCGAAUGGAGACAUGACACAAGAGUCACGCUUGACCGGAUGCAGCCUCUUCUUGACCUGGAUGAUCACGGAAUAAACCUAUCUACAAAUAGACGAGAUAAAUCCCUGUAGGAAGCUAAACCAUAAG